UCUCAUUUAGUCUAUCCAAUUGCAUGGUGCCAUGCAACCCAAAUGGACCAUGCCGGGUCGGGUCAAGUACUAACCCGAAAUAGUUAUGGACUUAGACACCUUAUCCAACAGUCUCCCACUUGGAUAAGUCUAAUAACUAUAACUCCAGUACUUCAGGAACCGACCGGCAAUCGUAGCUCUUUCAAGGUCUCUCGGAACUGAGAAGAUGUUGAUACGCCAUUUAAGAUAAGUGAUCAUAUAAUCCUCUGUUCUAGAUAUCAGCCGGACAAAUACAUGGAACAAUGUCUUACUUAUUGUCCAGCAGUUUGUUUCCCGAUUUCCGAUUUGUUUGACAAAGAACUUAAUUGAACACAUCAACUUAGUUCUGACCGGGCCCGGUACAUAGGUCAAAACAAAAUCAUCGAGGGGCCCAGAUAUCAGCUUCUAAUCCAAGAAGGAACAGAUAAACUUCGACUCAUAUGUUUGUUCUACCACACAUUGAAUUAUACACAAGAGCGCGAUUUAUAACAUUGAGUUACCAAUUCGUUUUCGUACAGUCAAUGCAUAACCAACUUGUAAGUAACAAAUCAUAUCUCUAGGUUUGAAGACUUAUAUGAUAUUACCGUCUCACGAUCACUCGAGAUAGAAUUCCAUGAAGUGAUUCCAGUGAGCGUGGGUUGAGUCCAAUGCUCAGAACUUAUGAGCACUCAUGAUUGUUGUAGCCUUGUCCAACACCUUAGACCUCUACAACCCAUCAUGACAGUCUUGAUUCAUACCUACUUCCGACAUAUGACCGACUGUGGAGGUUUGAAUAAUAUGUUACACCAAACAAAAUUAUUCUGGAAGUCAAAACAUGCAAAAGAAAUAUAGUAAACGAUUGACAAGAGAUAGCAACACUUUACUCAUAAAUAAAACACCUUUUAUUCAUCAUCAAAUGUCAAUUACACUUUACAAAUUUCUGGGUUAUCUAACUACUAAAACUUAUAUCAUCCUUCAGCCCUAUGCUCCGAGCAUGCUGGAGAUGCUUAACCCUACUCAGUCCCUUCGUGAGGGGAUCUGCUGGGUUCUCAUCCGAUGAUACCCUCUUUGCCACGAGGAGUCCUUCUUCGAUCCGAUGUCUAAUGAAAUGGUAUUUUCUGUCGAUGUGUCUGGAUCUCCCAUGAUCCCUUGGUUCCUUGGCUAAGGCAACAGCACUUUCACUAUCACAGAAAAUUUCCAUUGGCUCUUUAAUAGCUGGUACAACUCCAAGGUCUCCAAUGAAGUUCUUCAGCCAUAUCGCCUCCUUUGCUGCUUCGCUAGCUGCAAUAUACUCUGAUUCACAAGUAGAAUCUGCCACUGUCUCUUGCUUGGAACUCUUCCAAGAAAUUGCUCCUCCGUUUAGGGUAAAGACCCAGCCCGACUGAGAGCGGAAAUUAUCCCUAUCAGUCUGGAAGCUAGCAUCACUAUACCCUACAACUCUCAAGUCAUCACUCCCACCGAGGGUAAGGACCCAGUCCUUAGUCCUCCGUAGGUACUUGAGGAUAUUCUUUACCGCAGUCCAGUGUGCCUUGCCAGGGUUCGCCUGAUACCUGCUAACCAUGCUCAAGGCAAAAGCUACAUCGGGUCGAGUACACGUCAUAGCAUACAUGAUCGAUCCUACAGCCGAAGCGUAAGGUGUUCGACUCAUUUCUGCUAUCUCAGCCUCAGUGCUAGGGCUUUGUGUCUUACUCAAUCUGGUGUUACUCUGGAUGGGUAACUCUCCUUUCUUGGAAUCCUGCAUGCUGAAUCUCUUCAGCACCUUAUCCAAGUAGGUACUCUGACUAAGUCCAAUUAGUCUUUUACUCCGAUCUCUCAAGAUUCUUAUCCCUAGAAUAUAGGCAGCUUCACCAAGGUCCUUCAUAGCGAAACACUUCCCAAGCCAGGACUUUACUUCCUGCAGGGUUGGAAUGUCGUUUCCUAUGAGUAGUAUGUCAUCCACAUACAAUACCAAAAAGCUAACUAUACUCCCACUAGCCUUGACAUACACACAAGAUUCAUCUUCACUCCUAGAAAAGCCAAAUUCCUUGACCUUUUCAUCAAAGCAAAGAUUCCAUCUGCGAGGUGCUUGCUUCAAUCCAUAAAUGGAUUUCUCAAGCUUACACACUCUAUUAGGGUACUCGUUGCUGACAAAACCCUCUGGCUGACUCAUGUAAACAUCUUCAGCCAACUUUCCAUUAAGGAAAGCGGUUUUGACAUCCAUCUGCCAUAUUUCAUAGUCAUGAAAUGCAGCUAUGGCUAACAGAACCCGAAUAGACUUAAUCUUGGCUACCGGAGAAAAGGUCUCAUCAUAAUCCACUCCAGGAAUUUGAGAGAAGCCCUUUGCAACCAGUCUAGCCUUAUAAGUGUGUACUUUACCAUCCAUGUCGGUCUUCUUCUUGAAGACCCAUUUGCACCCUACUGUCUUACGACCUGGUACAUUUUCAACCAAGUUCCAAACUUGAUUGUCAUACAUGGAUUGUAUCUCGCUAUCCAUAGCCUCUUUCCAUUUAGCAGACUCGGGGCCUGCCAUGGCUUCCUCGUAGCUGUUAGGGUCAUCUUGACUUACUAGUGUCUCAUCACUAAUAAGUGUCUCACCUUCUGCAGUAAUAUGGAAUCCAUAGUAAUGCUCAGGUGCACUCCUAACUCUCGUGGAACGUCUCAGAGGUACAGAUUUGUCAAUUGGCUCAACAGGAGUUUCCUCCUCAAGUUGAGGGCUAGAGUUUGAAGUUCCUUCACCGCUUGAUUCUUGAAUUUCUUCAAGAUCAAUUUGCCUCCCACUGUCUCCUUGGCUUAUAAACUCUCUUUCUCGAAAGACUCCUCUUCUUGCUACAAAGACCACAUUGUCACUAGGUCUGUAGAAGAGGUAACCAAAGGAUCGCUGUGGGUAACCGAUGAAAAUACACCUCUCGCUUCGAGGUUCGAGCUUAUCAUGAGUCUCGCGUCUCACGAAAGCCUCGCAACCCCAAAUCUUGAUGUGGUCUAGUUUAGGUACUUUACCAGUCCACAUCUCGUGAGGAGUUUUGGCAACUUUCUUUGUAGGGACUAGAUUAAGAAUAUGGGCGGCAGUCUCUAAGGCAUACCCCCAGAAUGAGAUUGGUAGCGUAGCUCGACUCAUCAUGGAACGAACCAUAUCUAACAAGGUUCGAUUACGCCUCUCAGCCACACCAUUCAACUGUGGUGUCCUGGGAGGUGUCAAUUGUGAGACUAUCCCACAUUCCCUUAGAUAGUCGAGGAACUCUGAACUAAGAUACUCACCACCACGAUCGGAUCGAAGCAUCUUAAUGUUCCUGCCCAAUUGAUUCUCGACUUCCUGUUUAAAUUCCUUAAACCUCUCGAAAGUCUCUGACUUAUGCUUGAUCAAGUAGACAUAUCCAUAUCUACUAUAAUCAUCAGUAAAAGUCAAAUAAUAACGAUUAGCAUCCCUUGUGGCAUGUUUGAAUGGUCCACACACAUCCGUGUGUAUAAGGUCCAACAAACCUUCACCCCUCUCACACGAACCUGUGAAGGGUGACUUUGUCAUUUUUCCAAGUAAGCAUGAUUCGCAACUAUCAUCUGACUUUAGGUCAAACGACUCCAAGACUCCAUCCUUUUGGAGUUGGCCUAUGCGUUUCUUGCUUAUAUGUCCAAGACGACAAUGCCAUAAAGAUGCUUUAUCCAAGUUAUUAUUAGUAGAAUCAAUACACAAAACAUUAUUUCCCAAGUUAUCUACAACAGAUACAGCUUCAUACACACCAUCACAAGGUAAUGCUUUAAAAUAAAAGACAUUAUUAUAGAAAACAUCUAUAGAACCAACUUCAUUAUUAAAUGAAAAGGUAAACCCUUGUUUGUACAAAGCAUGAAAGGAAAUAAUAUUUCUUGCCAUUCCUGGCGAAUAACAACACUUAUUCAAAUCUAAACUAAACCCACUACUUAGCGAUAAAGUAUAAACUCCAAUCUUGGUAACAGGUAUAGCUUUCCUAUUCCCCAUGAUCAAGUUUAUCCUUCCUUGCUCCACAUCCUCACUUCUUCUUAGUCCCUGCAAGUCACAACAAAUGUGAAUACCACACCCGGUAUCAAGGACCCAAGAAUUAGAAUGGGGUGAGUUAUUAGAAAUGAUAGUGUAAAUACCUGCAUGGUUGGGUUUAACUUUCCCAUCCUUCACAUCUUGCUGGUAUUUUGGGCAGUUCCGCUUCCAAUGAGCUUUUUCAUGGCAAUAGAAGCAUUCAGCCUCUUUUGGGUCAGAAGAAGGAGUAAUGAAACCUUUCUUGGUUCCACUUGAAGAAGAGCCAUCAAGGGUCCGAACCUUGGUACCCUUAGAAGAGCUCUUUCUCUUCCUCCCUCGACUUUUCCCGAUUGCCAAAACCGGAGUAGAGUUUUGAGUAGGAGUGAUAGCAACCGACUUCCCCUUAAGACCUGAUUCUGCGGUCUUGAGAAGUCCCUGAAGUUUGCUGAGGGUGACUUCUUCCUUGUUCAUGUGAUAUGUCAUGCGGAAUUGAUCAUAGCACGAUGGUAAGGAAUGCAAAAUAAUAUCUAUUGCAAGAUCCUCCGGGAAGUUCACAUUAAGCUUCAGCAAACGAUCCACAUACCUUUGCAUUUUCUGCAUGUGGCUCGUGACGGAUUCCCCGUCCUUCAUCAUGGUUGUUAUCAUGGAGCAGAUGAUUUCAUACCUCUCUUGUCUUGCACUUUGAUGGUAUCUUUCCAUCAAAUCUUGGUGCAUUUCAUAAGGGUAGAAAUCCUCAUAAGACUUUUGGAGUUCCGCUGUCAUCGUGGCCAUCAUGAUGCAAGCCACUUUCGUAGCAUCCCUUUCAUGUGCCCGAAAUUCAGCGAUCUCCUGAGGAGUUGCAGUGGACUCAUCAAUCUCCUUAAGCUCCUUGUCAAGGACAUAUUCUUUGUCCUCGUAGCGGGUAAUCAUCCUGAUGUUUCUGAUCCACUCAUUGAAGUUGGAUCCAUCAAAGGUGACUUUCCCACACAAGUUCAUAAGGGUAAAGGAGCCAUUAGGAUUAGAGCCAGAAGCAUUGUUGAAAGACAUCUGAAGGAAAGAGGACAAGAUUAGUUUAGAUAUAAGAGAGUCCUUAAUAAAACACCCAAAUGUAAUAUUAAGGCUAGGAUCCAAUCACAAUAUAAUAUAACUUAGAAGAGGUAUGCCGUAAUCUAAGCUAUAUCAUAUUUGAAAGGUAGGUGAAUGACGAUUCACCAAUUUCCACCACGAAAACCGCAAUAUUUUAGUAUUAGGUUUUUGAAUGGUUCUUAGAAAUUCCUAGAUUCUUUGAGAUUCAAUGAACUUUUCAAAGGCAUGUUUCAAUCUCGAGUGUGCCCUCCAAGUUUUGUGACUGGGAUACCGAGGAUCACAAAACGAGGUGUGAAGUAACCAUGCAAAUCACUUGGUACCCUUAAAGUUUAUCACUCAAUCGAUGUGCCGGUUAACCACACACGCUCCAUCGAUACUAUAAUAAACCCUAAGUCACCCUUUACCUACCUUGUUAAGUCCAAGUUAGUGUGCCGGUUAACCACACACGCUCCACCAACGACUUAAUCAAAGUGUAAAGUGUAAUUUCAUGGAAUAGCACCUUAUUCACAUUUUUCCUAAAGUAACUAAGAUUGGGAAUUUAAUAAAACAUUUAGUUACUUUAUAAUAUUCAUCAUACUUUGAAUGAGAAUUAAUAAGUCCUUGUCUUACCCGUUCGGCUAACGACCCUCCACCGAUCAAGCAAGCGGUGGGUGAGAGUGGACACCCAUUAAGUCACCAUUUUAUAGGCAACAACCUUAUACCCACCUUAUAGACCGGCUUCGUGAAUGAGGCGUACUAGCGGUAAGACGACUUUGUUCUUAUACAUAUAUAUAUAAUUAUUAAAUCAUAAUAAUAUAAGUAUAAGGGUUGAAUUUUAACUUUUAAAAUUCUAGGGGUUGGAACUAAAGUUUUAACUUAACUUUACUUGUUCCAAAACUUGAGGGCAAGUUUUGUAAACUUUCAAAACUUUUCAUUUCUUGUAACUUAUGAGUUUAAUAGAGUAAUAAAAUGAGGACUUUUCAUUUUUCCUAACUCUUGUGUUCUUUUAAUGGUUUUUAAUCCAAGAGACUUUUGGUUUUCCAUAACUUGAGGACAAGUUAUGGACUCCAUUAAAACACAUUAUGAUCAUGAAUUAAUCUACCACAUAGGUUACAAAUAAUUCCUAUGAUCAUCUAAACAUCAUAAGAACAAGAAUAUGAAUAUGAACACUUUCAAGAAUCAAAAUCACAUUUAAUCUUUGUAAUUUUGAUAACUAGUUGUUGUAAAUGAGUUAGAAAAGACAUUACACCUUCUAAAAUAAGUUUUCAAGUACCAAAACAUUUUAGGGUAAUGAUUCUAAUCCAUUUCCAGCAACUCAAGUCGAAAUUCUGCACUCUGUCGACCCUACUCGCCGAGUGCAUAAACCUACUCGCCGAGUAGGUUGAAGAUACACAUGAACUCGACGAGUCCUCCCCAUGGACUCGCCGAGUCCAUCAGUCAGACAGCAAGAUUUUCGACUUUCUUCAACUUUUAAGCACAAAUAACAAACAAACAAGCCUAGGCUCUGAUACCACUGAUGGGUUUUGAGCAUUCUAACACUUCCUAAGUGUACAUGCAACCCUAAUAACCUUGGAUCUAUGUUUGUCUAAUUAUCAUGCAAAGUUGAAUUCCAAGGUUAUAUUCCUAUCUAGCAUACAUGGGGAACAAUUUUAACUUGAAUCAUAGAUAGAAUAACUUACCUUGUUGUUGCUUGUGUUCCUUGAAACCUUGUGAGCCUAGCACCCCAAGUGUGAUGCCUCAAAUGCUUCACACAACACCAAAUGCUCUUGGAAAGACUCUUGAGAUAACACACACUUCUCAAAAUCGGCCAAGCCCUCUAGUUUCUUAGUGUAGCCGAUUUUGGUGGAGAAUAUGAUUCUUAUAUAGUGUUGACACAUCUAGGGUUACACCAUGUAAACCCUAAUGUGUCAUGACUCUUCAUUUCCAUGACCCAUGGGUUUGUAACUCCCAUGGAGCAUCCAUGGAGCAUCCUAUGGGUAGAACCCAACUUGAUAAUCCAUGGAGCCUCUUAGCCCACUAUACAAGAUAUGGAUGAUUUACAUAAUCAACCCAUAUAUUUAAUUAGUUAUCCUUUGAUCACUUAAUUAAUUCCAAAUUAAUUCUUUGAUCAACUAAUCAAAUAAUAUUAUUAAUAUAUUAGAACUUAUAAUAUAUUAAUAAUCUCCAAGUGUUAUUUCUCUCAUUUAGUCUAUCCAAUUGCAUGGUGCCAUGCAACCCAAAUGGACCAUGCCGGGUCGGGUCAAGUACAAGCCCGAAAUAGUUAUGGACUUAGACACCUUAUCCAACAGUCUCCCACUUGGAUAAGUCUAAUAACUAUAUCUCUAGUACUUCAGGAACCGACCGGCAAUCGUAGCUCUUUCAAGGUCUCUCGGAACUGAGAAGAUGAUGGUACGCCAUUUAAGAUAAGUGAUCAUAUAAUCCUC
RNAcentral lists this long non-coding RNA (7425 nucleotides) under Lactuca sativa (garden lettuce). RNAcentral describes it as "long non-coding RNA (LSAT_LNC001025)". Lineage: Eukaryota; Viridiplantae; Streptophyta; Magnoliopsida; Asterales; Asteraceae. The record is from RNAcentral.